GGUAAAAUGGCUGAGUAAAGCAUUAGACUGUAAAUCUAAGCACAGAGGUUAAAUAAAGCCCUCUUUUUGCCA
Molecule: transfer RNA, 72 nt
Filed under: Genetta abyssinica
Lineage: Eukaryota; Metazoa; Chordata; Mammalia; Carnivora; Viverridae
Description: tRNA-Tyr
Rfam family: tRNA
About the family: Transfer RNA (tRNA) molecules are approximately 80 nucleotides in length.
Source: RNAcentral